This 251-nucleotide unclassified non-coding RNA is filed under the name uncultured fungus. RNAcentral describes it as "partial contains 5.8S ribosomal RNA, internal transcribed spacer 2, and large subunit ribosomal RNA". Lineage: Eukaryota; Fungi. The record is from RNAcentral.
AACGCACAUUGCGCCCUCUGGUAUUCCGGGGGGCACACCUGUUCGAGCGUCAUUUCACAAAUCAAGCCCUGCUUGGUAUUGGGUGAGGCCCUAUCUGGGCCCGCCUCAGACCCCUCGGCGUCGCCGCCCGUCCUCGAGCGCAGCGAGAUAACUUUCCAGCGUUUUCGAUGCGGGCCACGUCUGCCGCAGAACACACCUUUUUUUCUAUCAAGGUUGACCUCGGAUCAGGUGGGGAUACCCGCUGAACUUAA